GCAGUGGUGGUUCAAUGGUAGAAUUGUCGCCUUCCACACAGGAGACCCAGGUUCAAUUCCCAGCCAGUGCA
Molecule: transfer RNA, 71 nt
Filed under: Loxodonta africana (African savanna elephant)
Lineage: Eukaryota; Metazoa; Chordata; Mammalia; Proboscidea; Elephantidae
Rfam family: tRNA
About the family: Transfer RNA (tRNA) molecules are approximately 80 nucleotides in length.
Source: Rfam by way of RNAcentral